CAAAAACAUAGCUAUUAGAUUUCAUUAAUGGUAAGUUCUGCUCAAUGAGGUUUUAAAUAGCCGCAGUACACUGACUGUGCUAAGGUAGCAUAAUCAGUUGGCUUAUAAUUGAAGUCUUGUAUGAAUGAAUACAUGGGGAGUAACUGUAUCUUAAAUAUAAAAUGAAAUUACUAAGUAAGUGCAAAUUCUUACAUAUACAUAAUAGACGAGAAGACCCUAGAAAUUUUCAGUAUAUAAAUAAUGGGUUUUUGUUGGGGCAACAGUGUAACAUAUAACUUACAUUAUCAUUACAGGRRAUUUAUAGAUAGUUAAAAUUACUCUAGGGAUAACAGCGUAAUAUAUAUAUAUGAUUGCGACCUCGAUGUUGGACUAGGAAACGAAAACUUAGAAGGUUAGUUGUAAUGCUCUGUUCGAGC
Molecule: ribosomal RNA, 416 nt
Filed under: Pleuroxia phillipsiana
Lineage: Eukaryota; Metazoa; Mollusca; Gastropoda; Stylommatophora; Camaenidae
Description: partial 16S ribosomal RNA
Rfam family: Archaeal large subunit ribosomal RNA
Source: RNAcentral